This 635-nucleotide long non-coding RNA is filed under the name Nicotiana benthamiana. RNAcentral describes it as "long non-coding RNA (NBEN_LNC031969)". The record is from RNAcentral. Lineage: Eukaryota; Viridiplantae; Streptophyta; Magnoliopsida; Solanales; Solanaceae.
UUGGAAAAAUCUCAGUGGCCCCAGUGACUAAAAGCACAACAUCACAACAAGAACAACACAGUAAAAUCCCAUAGUGGGGUAUAUUUCGGUGUAAAAACGUAUGUGUAACAAUUGUUCUCGAGUUUACAAUUCCAGUUUUCUUCAACUUUUCCAUACUUUAUCCAAAGAGAUCUUUACUGUUCAAAAUAAAUUAGAAUCAACAGUCAGAAUACCAGCAAAAGAGAUUAAACUAAGAAUAUAAUCUAUCAAUUUUUUGCCUUCAUAAGCUGAAACCCCCAGUACCUAUUUAUUCUCACUUGAGCAUAUCUCAUAGGUUAAUAGAAGAACUAAGUUAGGUUCUUCCAGAGCACCAUUAUUCGAACCCAACCUAUAAACACUAACAAACAAAGCAAAGCUAAUCAAUAUAAUACAAAUGAACUUUAGCCCGAUACAAAAAUUCAAAAUCAAUCAAAAUUUACAACAUACGUAAUUAAAUAAAAUAUCUACAUAAAUGCAUCAAAUUAAAGGAGGAAUCAAGCAAUUGAAAGCUAGAAGAGAUUUACGUUGGCCGACGGAGAAAACAAAGGGAGAGAUAGAUAUUUAACUGGCGAAAGAAGAAGAAGAAAUAGUUGAAGGGAGGUGUCGUAACGGAAGAG